CUGAGGGAUAGAGCCCAGGGCCUCAAGCAUGCUGGGUAAGUGCUAUUACUAAGCUAUACCCCAGCCCAGUAAGUGCAUUUUGAAGGUAGUGUAUUUGUCAGUUUUGUUCACUGGGUAUCCUCAUUAUCUGGUAUAGUUCUUAGCACAUACUGAGUACUCUUUAAAUAUUUCUUGAACUAAUGAACUGAAAAGUGUGUGUUAAAGUUGCUAAGUGCUACUGUGUAAUUCUUUUUUGUGUGUCUAAAUUUUAAAUUCCAGUAAUAUAUUUAUACAAGAUUUGCAUAACUUUGUCUCCAAACGAUAGUUUGCUUUCUAAUAACCUUCAUAUUAAAAUAUGGACUAUAUACUGUUCUCUGUAAUAAAAUAUCCUGCCUUAUAGAAAUGAAAUAUGACAUUUUAUAUAAAUGCUGCUAUAUUAUAUAAGUUGCUUCAUUAAGCUAUAAAUAAUUUUAAUUUCAAUUUGUUGGUUAUAUUCAAUGAACUCCUGAAGGUCUUAAGAUUUUUAACUUUUAGAGGGGAUAUAUUACAUUUUCUUAAAACUUUUACAUAUUUUCAUGGUCUAUUAAUAGCUGUUACUAAAUUUAUUUUCUAAGUGCAAGUCUAUGAAGAAAAACAAUUACAGAAAACUUAAAACUUUACAGAUGAUCUGUUCUUAGGUUCUGUGUUUCUAGAUAAAAGAGUGAGACCCAGACAGGUAACAUAGUUUGCCUGGGAAUCCUACAGCUACCAGCAAUGAUACCAGGACUUCUCAUUGUUAAUAUAUAGCUUCAUUCUCUUGCUCCAAAAUAUUAUAAAAAGGACAUAAUAUGACAAAAAAGGCUUUAUUAAAAUUUUGUUAUUAGUACAUUGAUUCUUUAGAAAUAUUUAUAUUCUUACCAUCAUUCAUACUUACAUAAAAUUAGUUCUACAAAAUAAUAGCACAGGAAAUAAGACCUGCCACAAAAAAAUAAAGAAAUUUCCUAAAAAUAGCAUGAUUACAGAACAAUAGAACAUUCUAGAAUCAUUGAGCAAACUGGGUUUCAGGAAACAAAGCUAAGCCUCUUAAAGUAGUAACUUAUGGAGCACAGUCUCUUCCAUUUUCUUUAUAAUUAUCUUCAAGCUAAAAGUAAAGAUAGCCUUCAGUUUGACAGAGAAUUGGACCAUACAUUAUUAUAAACAUUGGUUAGUUCUAUGUUACUAAGUUUCAAAAGCUGCAGGGUAAUCAGAUUUUUCUGGGCUUCCCAAUGUAGCUCUAGAGACUCUAGUAAACAUAAGUCAUAAAUUUGAUUUUGCUUUGGUGCUUAGAAACAGUUUAAUAAAUAAGAAAGAAAAAAAUGAAUAAAAGGAGAAGAAAAUAAAAUACAACAAAAUAGCUGGACCAUUUUUUUUUACUUUAAAAAAAUGCUGGGAGUUUAGGAUCAUACCAUAAAUCGCUUAAGUACACCUCACAAUAUUGAGCCCCCCUACACACAUUGUUUCCACUGUUUAAGAAAUGAUAGUCAUGCACAAUCACAACCAUUUCAACUUGCAUCCCAUCUGUAGAUGUUAAAUCUAGUCUCAGAGGCUGCAAAACUUAUGAAUUCUUAAGUUAUAAGAAAGACAUUCAAGAUCUUAAUCCAUGUGUGAAUAUCCACAACUAGUCAUUCUACAUAACUUAUAUCUUCAAAUCCUGGAUAGAUUUCUAAUUCAUUUGGGCCACGUAAAUCCAAUUGUCUUAAGGCAGCUUGUGUUGCAGGAUUCAGCCGCUUCCCAACCCUUUUCUCCAAGUGUGUUAAAAUAAGGACUAGAUAAGAUCAACCCCUCUUCUCCACAGUGCAGGAUGCAUCUGGUUUUACUAUAUUAUGUUCAAACUGCUAUUAAUUAUAAGCUAUUGUAUGAAUUUAAGGUGUUGAGUGAACACCAGAAAUGUGUUUUAAAUACUUUGUGUAAAUUUGUGCCCAACUUUUGUUUUAUAUUGUUCAAUAAAUUCUAAAGGAAAUUUUCAUUGUAUUUGUUUUUAAAAUCCUUCUGAAAUAGUAGUGAUGCAGGGCAGUCUUCUGUCUUCAAAAACAAAAUCCACUUUAAUGACACUUGUGUGUCAUUAUAAAGUUAUCCUUUUUUUCUGUAAAGAGAACAAAU
Molecule: long non-coding RNA, 2097 nt
Filed under: Marmota monax (woodchuck)
Lineage: Eukaryota; Metazoa; Chordata; Mammalia; Rodentia; Sciuridae
Source: RNAcentral